UAGGACAAAUGAUCGCGGCCGGAACCCUGCGUUCCGGGUGAGGAAAGUCCGGGCUUCAUAGGGCAGGAUGCCGGAUAACGUCCGGUGGAGGUGACUCCAAGGCCAGUGCAACAGAAAUAUACCGCCCCGGAGCAAUCCGGAGUAAGGGUGGAAGGGCAGUGUAAGAGACUACCGCCCGCACAGUAAUGGGCGGGGCACAUGUAAACCCCAUUCGAAGCAAGACCAAGAUAGAAGCAAUGUCGGCCCGGCAGCUUCUGGUAGGUCGCUUGAGGCUGUUGGUAACAACAGUCCUAGAUAGAUGAUCAUUCACGACAUAACCCGGCUUAUCGUUCUGCUCA
This 338-nucleotide RNase P RNA is filed under the name pig gut metagenome. Its description in RNAcentral is "Bacterial RNase P class A". It matches the Rfam family "Bacterial RNase P class A". Rfam says of the family: Ribonuclease P (RNase P) is a ubiquitous endoribonuclease, found in archaea, bacteria and eukarya as well as chloroplasts and mitochondria. The record is from RNAcentral.